GUGAGGUUGUGUGCAAUUUAUUCCUCAUUUUGAGCAUGGUAAAAAUUGUGCUUUUAAUCGUCCUGUUCGAUUACAGAUUUCUUUUUGUAAUACAUUCCGUCAGGGAGUUGUCGUCUCUUGCAUUUAGCGUUUCUUGUAGUUUGACCGUAGAUGCAUUGUCUUUGCUAUCAAAUGCUUUGCAAGACCAAAGACCAUAACUUGUUUUGAACGCAAAGUAGCUACUGUUCCUUCAUAUACCACAAGUAUACCAUAGAGACGGAACUUGGUUUUUUGGCAAAGCAACUCUGUGUGUGGAAUGGAAAAGGGGUGAGGUUGACAUUUUAGCUUUUUUGGGCAAGUAGUAUCAUUUAUCUUGAAUGUAUCAUAGAUAAGCUGCUAUAUACUGGUUGCCACUUCCUAAUAGCUGUGAAAGUAGGUGAUUUUUAACGUAGAUCCUACUUAGCAUUCCGAUUUUGUGUAAGUCUAAUUACAAUAGCCGUGUGGUUUUGAUAUGACCUAAUGAUAGAAGUGUGUGUGUGUUCUUAUGUUAUGACGAUUAGGACAGGCACCGAAAAAACCUUUUGUAAUGCCUCUGUAUAUUUUGGCUUUUCUGUUUGCCGUGUUGUUGUGACUACUGUAUAGCAAGGUGCUUUUCUGGGCGUGAUCUGGGUUUGUUUUGAGUGGUUCUUCCUUUUUUGUUAUCGGUUUGUUUCUUGUCCAUGUUUGAAGUGUAGUUAUCGUUGGGCUCAUUGGCGAGUACACAUCGUUGUCUUGAUGUACAAUAAUUUAACUAUAUUUUAACGUCCGCCUUCUGUUAACAUUUGCCCUACCCUGUAGAUUUCACUCAAUGGCUCCACUGUUAUGUAUUACUGACACGUAGAUAUGGUAUACUUUUAGUGCCGUUCUUCUUGUCUAUGCUGUGGGAUUCGGAGUAACCUAGAUAUCUGAUGUUCCUUUAACAUGCUAUUAAGCACUUGUUAGCAUGUCAAUAAGCUAACCUGGUGUGGGUUUAUUCAUUCAUGCUUUAGUGUUUUCCGUUUCUGAAGUUGCAGUGUUCAAAAGAAACUAUAAGCCUCCUUCUCUCAUGAAUCCAUGGGGAAUGAAAAUGUUGUGCAGAUCCUUGUGUUGUAACCAAGCCUAUGUGGUGUAGUUACUGAGCACCUGUUGAUGUUGAGUGACACUGCAGUGUCACCUGUCAGUGUGUACGUGGUUUAGGAUCUCUUGUGUUCUUUGUGAAACCCCUUGACCUUCUGUCCUGGAGGUCGGCAGCACAGAGUCUGUGCCUUUUCUAAAGCACCGGGGGUGGGGCAGCAGGCCUGGGGAACAGAUUGGCACCCAGUACCUGAUCUCCGCCCAAUCCCAUCUCUUCAUCACUUAAAGGGGGAGGGCACAAUGUGCUGCCCAGGUGGAUUGUUAGGACCCACUUGUUUCCUACCCCCUAGUCACAUCAGCACAUUCAAACCUCAGUCAAUGUGAGAAGAGUUUUUCCUUUGAAACACGGCAUAGGGUUUCCCAGCAAGUGAAAUACACUUUUUCCUUGAAAUGGGAUUCCUGAUUAUAUGUUGAGAUAAUCACACCACCACCAACUCCCCCCACACCCAACUCAAACACAGACACACAUACAUACCCACUCUGAGUUUUGUUUGACUGUCAACGUGUGAAAAUGCUGAGAACCAUUUUUAGUGAGCGGACAAUAGAGAAGUCUAUAAUACAUUAUUAAUCAGGGAAUAUUUGUAUGCUGAUUAAAUCACCCAAGUCUGUUCAUUUGUAUUUGGGGAGAUUUACACAUAUACACUGUGAAUGUAUACAUGAACAAAACAUUGGGGGUUAAAGGCCAUCAAAAGAAAAACAUGGAGGAAAAACAUCCCUCACUCAUGGAAUUAGUUAUGCCUAACCUGUUUUAGUUCACUCGUAACAGGUCUAGUUAAUGCUUCUUGAAUCGCAGACCAUUGAUUUUCUUGUUGUGUCCAUUUGUCACAAACAGCAUAAUAUUGCGUUUUUUGGCCAAGGCACUUCAUUUCUCAAACUCCUUUAUCUGUUAAAAAAAAAAAAAUAAGCAUAGGUGGACAUUUGGCUGAGCAUGUGGCGCUAGAAGAAACGUAUAGAUACUACUACUUGUGCACAUACAAUAAUGUUCACUAGUAUGCAUGUGGAAUUGAAGUUAGUUGUGUCUCUAAAAUGUAAUUCGUUAAAAGAAGGCAGAAUAAUACCUGGAAGCCUUCACGCAAGCUACACCAAAACCAUGUGUAUUCUUUUUAUUCAAAUCUGAUAUUUGAGGUCAUGAAAUUCAGUCAAGCACUCAAGGAUGGGACAUAAGAAAACAGAGUUUAUUUGAUGAUUGCUCAAUCAUGUGUACACAACAGACUGAAUAGUAUUUGUACUUUAUUUGACAUUUUACCAUUUAUUAUUCAAAAUACCAAACAUUUUAGUUUACAAUUUUGUUUUCCUCCCUCUCAGUUAAGAGAUUAUUGUACAUCAAAUUCAGGGUCUUUAUAUUUGUCUCAUGUGCUACUGUAUUAUACCUAAAUCCUUAAUGCUUGGGUUGGAUUGCUUUAGAUAUAUUUUUACAUGGAUUUUCAUUUUUAUUUCAGGCAGGUAAUCCUCAAAAAAAAAAUCACACUGCUUGUUUAUAGAUAAUAUAUUUAGAUUUUACAAAGCAAAUAGUCUUUAUUUACUAGAUAUGAGCGGUUACUGUUUUAAUAUUUUGUAGAUUUUGUGGCUCCCUUAAUUCAGUUUGCUUUGUUUUUAUUACUGCUACAUUAGUUUGCCAUGUAGCCAUUGCACUGUGCAAUAUUUACAACAUGAGGACUGGGAAAUAUAUAUUUUUCCUUUAUGUAAUGUCUCUUACAGUUUGCGGUCGUUUUUUUCUCUCUAGUUCUCAGUGAUUUUUCUUCUUUUUUUUUUCAAUGUGACCAAGCCUUAUGUACUUGUCACAGAAAGCGGGUUUUUCCUGGUGACUAUUUGUGAGUGUCAAAAUUAAGAAUUUAUGGUGUAUUGUCGAAAAUCACUUUGAAUAAAAAUGUCUAUUACAGCAAAA
Molecule: long non-coding RNA, 3016 nt
Organism: Clupea harengus (Atlantic herring)
Lineage: Eukaryota; Metazoa; Chordata; Actinopteri; Clupeiformes; Clupeidae
Source: Ensembl